Molecule: long non-coding RNA, 819 nt
Filed under: Ananas comosus (pineapple)
Lineage: Eukaryota; Viridiplantae; Streptophyta; Magnoliopsida; Poales; Bromeliaceae
Description: long non-coding RNA (ACOM_LNC026417)
Source: RNAcentral
GUUACUACUUAGUAUUUUUUCUGACUCUUUUUUUUUUCAAAAUAAUUUUAUAAAAUUUUCUAAUUGGAUAAAACUUAGUUUGGUAUUAAGCUCUAUCUAACGCUAUUAGAUAGAAUGGAGUUGAGAAAAAAUAUAUAGGGAUAUGUUUCUGCUCUCCGAUUGGACCGCAGAAAAUAUAUCGUAACCAACUAAUCGCAAUAUGCGGAACACAAUAUUACAUACGAAAACAAACCGUAUAUUUUUACAUCGUCGUUUCUCACCGCACAUAAAGUAACCGAUUGGACUGCAGAAAAUAUAUAGUAACCAACUAACCGCAAUAUGCGGAAUACAAUAUUACAUACGAAAACAAACAGUAUAUUUUUACAUCGUCGUUUCUCACUGCACAUAAAGUAAUCCCCGCAUUCCCAAACGAAGCUUAUAUAAUCCCACAAAGAAAAAAUUAGUAAACAAACUCUCCUUUUAUCACGUAGGAGCCACAAAAGUUUUUUCUUAAUCUUUCUAAUUUUUUAUAAAAACGGUGAAUUAUUCACUGUUUUUCUCUUCUAUUGUUUCUUUCUAUUUUUCAUAUGAUCCUAACAAUCAUAUAGAAAUUUCAACAAAUUUCAUAUAAUUUCAACACUAAAAUUUUUUUAAUAAUCUAUUCAUACAACCCUAACAAUUAAAUAAAAAUUUUAAUAAUCCACAUACAAUCCUAACAAUCUCACUUUUUUUUAAAAUUUUUAAUUUUUAUGAAGGCCGUAAAUAAUUCACCGUUUUUAAGGGCAAAUUUUGUCAUGGCUCCUAUAUGGCAAAAGAAAGACUAUUUAGCCAAUUAUAAUA